GUGCCAGCAGCCGCGGUAAGACAGAGGUGCCAAGCGUUAGGCGGAAUCACUGGGCUUAAAGCGUGUGUAGGCGGAAUUGUAAGUACCUUGUGAAAUCCCACGGCUCAACCGUGGAACUGCUCGGUAUACUGCUUUUCUUGAGCCACUUAGGGGCUGUCGGAACAAACGGUGGAGCGGUGAAAUGCGUAGAUAUCGUUUGGAACGCCAACGGUGAAAACAGACAGCUGGGAGUGUGCUGACGCUGAGACACGAAAGCCAGGGGAGCGAACGGGAUUAGAUACCCCAGUAGUCC
RNAcentral lists this ribosomal RNA (292 nucleotides) under uncultured bacterium. Its description in RNAcentral is "partial 16S ribosomal RNA". It matches the Rfam family "Bacterial small subunit ribosomal RNA", at positions 505 to 796 of the family's 1533-position model. The record is from RNAcentral.